GUCCACGUAGCUCAGUCGGACAGAGCGCCGGGCUUCCAAACCGGGGGUCGGGAGUUCGAGUCUCCCCGUGGGCG
Molecule: transfer RNA, 74 nt
Filed under: Chloroflexota bacterium
Lineage: Bacteria; Bacillati; Chloroflexota
Description: Chloroflexi bacterium tRNA-Gly
Rfam family: tRNA
About the family: Transfer RNA (tRNA) molecules are approximately 80 nucleotides in length. Their secondary structure includes four short double-helical elements and three loops (D, anti-codon, and T loops).
Source: RNAcentral